This 253-nucleotide ribosomal RNA is filed under the name uncultured bacterium. RNAcentral describes it as "partial 16S ribosomal RNA". It matches the Rfam family "Bacterial small subunit ribosomal RNA", at positions 524 to 776 of the family's 1533-position model. The record is from RNAcentral.
UACCGGGGGGGCGAGCGUUGCUCGGAAUUACUGGGCGUAAACCGUACGCAGGCUGUUCUCUAAGUCGCGUGUGAAAUCCCGGCGCUCAACCCCGGAAUUGCCCCCGAAACUGGUGGGCUUGAGAGCGGGAGAGGGAAGCGGAAUUCCUGGUGUAGAGGUGAAAUUCGUAGAUAUCAGGAGGAACACCUGUGGCGAAAGCGGCUUCCUGGCCCGGCACUGACGCUCAGGUACGAAAGCGUGGGGAGCAAACAGG